This 850-nucleotide ribosomal RNA is filed under the name Virgibacillus sp. JSM 114083. RNAcentral's name for it is "bacterial SSU rRNA". It matches the Rfam family "Bacterial small subunit ribosomal RNA", at positions 656 to 1506 of the family's 1533-position model. Lineage: Bacteria; Bacillati; Bacillota; Bacilli; Caryophanales; Bacillaceae. The record is from RNAcentral.
GGAGAGUGGAAUUCCACGUGUAGCGGUGAAAUGCGUAGAGAUGUGGAGGAACACCAGUGGCGAAGGCGACUCUCUGGUCUGUAACUGACGCUGAGGAGCGAAAGCGUGGGGAGCNAACAGGAUUAGAUACCCUGGUAGUCCACGCCGUAAACGAUGAGUGCUAGGUGUUAGGGGGUUUCCGCCCCUUAGUGCUGAAGUUAACGCAUUAAGCACUCCGCCUGGGGAGUACGGCCGCAAGGCUGAAACUCAAAAGAAUUGACGGGGGCCCGCACAAGCGGUGGAGCAUGUGGUUUAAUUCGACGCAACGCGAAGAACCUUACCAGGUCUUGACAUCCUCUGCAAUCGGUAGAGAUACCGAGUUCCCUUCGGGGACAGAGUGACAGGUGGUGCAUGGUUGUCGUCAGCUCGUGUCGUGAGAUGUUGGGUUAAGUCCCGCAACGAGCGCAACCCUUGAUCUUAGUUGCCAGCAUUAAGUUGGGCACUCUAAGGUGACUGCCGGUGACAAACCGGAGGAAGGUGGGGANGACGUCAAAUCAUCAUGCCCCUUAUGACCUGGGCUACACACGUGCUACAAUGGAUGGAACAGAGGGAAGCGAAGCCGCGAGGUGAAGCAAAUCCCAUAAAACCAUUCUCAGUUCGGAUUGCAGGCUGCAACUCGCCUGCAUGAAGCCGGAAUCGCUAGUAAUCGCGGAUCAGCAUGCCGCGGUGAAUACGUUCCCGGGCCUUGUACACACCGCCCGUCACACCACGAGAGUUAGUAACACCCGAAGUCGGUGAGGUAACCUUUAUGGAGCCAGCCGCCGAAGGUGGGACCAAUGAUUGGGGUGAGUCGUAACAAGGUAGCCAUAUU